This 702-nucleotide small RNA is filed under the name Pan troglodytes (chimpanzee). RNAcentral's name for it is "retained intron". The record is from RNAcentral. Lineage: Eukaryota; Metazoa; Chordata; Mammalia; Primates; Hominidae.
UCACUCGCGCCCAGCGCCUAACCUGGCUGGAGGCCUCAGAGAUUGAGGACGAGGAGGAGAAGGUCUCCAGGUACCGAGAGCUGCUGGUGCGGCUGCCCCCUGUCAACCGGGCCACAGUGAAGGCCCUUAUCAGCCACCUGUACUGUGUUCAGUGCUUCUCAGACACGAACCAGAUGAACGUGCACAACCUGGCAAUUGUGUUUGGGCCCACGCUCUUCCAGACAGAUGGGCAGGACUACAAGGCUGGCCGUGUGGUGGAAGACCUCAUUAACCACUAUGUGGUGGUGUUUAGUGUGCGUCCCUGGCCAGUGGGCAGUGGAGGGCAGGGGUGAUCCUUCCAGAUGGCGGUGACCACCUGUCCCUGCCUCUCGCCCCUUCCCAGGUGGAUGAGGAAGAGCUCAGGAAGCAGAGGGAGGAGAUCACUGCCAUUGUGAAGAUGCGCGUGGCUGGCACUGCCAGUGGGACCCAGCAUGCCGGUGACUUCAUCUGCACAGUGUAUCUGGAAGAGAAGAAGGCAGAGACUGAGCAGCAUAUCAAGAUCCCAGCAUCCAUGACUGCUGAGGAGCUCACCCUGGAGAUCCUGGAUCGCCGGAACGUGGGCAUCAGGGAGAAGGACUAUUGGACCUGCUUUGAGGUCAACGAGAGGGAGGAGGCAGAGCGCCCCCUGCACUUUGCGGAGAAGGUGCUGCCCAUCCUGCACGG